AAUUUUUAUGCUGCUUGAUCAGAGGUUGGUUGUAAUUUUCCUCCCUGCUGAAUUCACAACUACAAGAAAGUGUUUCUUAAGAGAAGCCCUUGAUAUUCUAGAAUGUAGAAUGUUGUUGGCUAUGGCUUUCCGUGGCUCCCACUGUUCUCUCAAGGUUCAUAUCAGUGAAGAAAAAGCAUUCAGAAUGGAAAACACUAUUGUUCUGACACAGGACAGACAAAAUCCACCGAACUUUCCUUGCAUGGGAUUAGAACACAGUGGACAGGAGAUACAGUCAGCAUAGUCAAUUAAAUGCUCCCCCUUCGUAUCCAAUGGACAAAUGUUUACCCAUCUGGUUUGGCUUAUUAGCCAUGCUUGCUUAGACUGCUUACCCAGUUCCCAAGCUGUGAAAAAUAGACUUUUUUCUUAGCAAGGGAUGAAGUCGUGGAACAACAUCUUACUUUUGCUCACUGUUUCCCCGUUCCUACAAGGUCCUGAGUUCAACUACCAGCAAAAUCAUAGUGGCAUAAAACCAUGUAUAAUGGCAUUAAACUUCCACUUCUGUUGUGUCUGAGAGUUACAGAUACUCAUUGAAAACAAAUAAAAUAAAACUUUAAAUAAAAAAAUAAAA
Non-coding RNA from Rattus norvegicus (Norway rat), 610 nucleotides. The record is from RefSeq and is a predicted model, not a curated record. NCBI's taxonomy places the organism in Eukaryota, Metazoa, Chordata, Mammalia, Rodentia, Muridae.